Non-coding RNA from Schistosoma haematobium, 45 nucleotides. NCBI's taxonomy places the organism in Eukaryota, Metazoa, Platyhelminthes, Trematoda, Strigeidida, Schistosomatidae. The record is from Rfam.
AUUCAGCUGAUGAGUCUCAAAUAGGACGAAAUGCGCGUCCUGGAU